GACGAACGCUGGCGGCGUGCUUAAACACAUGCAAGUCGAACGGGAGUAUUGAAGAAGCUUGCUUUAGAGAUACUUUAGUGGCGGACGGGUGAGUAACGCGUGAGGAGCUGUCCUAUGCAGGGGGACAACAGCUGGAAACGGCUGCUAAUACCCCAUAAGCCGAGAGGUAAAAGGAUCAAUCCGGCAGAGGAGGUACUCGCGUCCUAUCAGCUAGUAGGUGAGGUAACGGCUCACCUAGGCGAAGACGGGUAGCCGGCCUGAGAGGGCGAACGGCCACACUGGAACUGAGAUACGGUCCAGACUCCUACGGGAGGCAGCAGUGGGGAAUAUUGGGCAAUGGGGGAAACCCUGACCCAGCGACGCCGCGUGGGUGAAGAAAUCCUUCGGGAUGUAAAGCCCUGUUGUAUGGGAAGAGCGGAAGACGGUACCAUACGAGGAAGCCCCGGCAAACUACGUG
Molecule: ribosomal RNA, 457 nt
Filed under: uncultured bacterium
Lineage: Bacteria
Description: bacterial SSU rRNA
Rfam family: Bacterial small subunit ribosomal RNA
Source: RNAcentral